CAGCAGCCGCGGGAAUACGAAGGGUGCAAGCGUUACUCGGAAUUACUGGGCGUAAAGCGUGCGUAGGUGGUGGUUUAAGUCCGUUGUGAAAGCCCUGGGCUCAACCUGGGAAUUGCAGUGGGUACUGGGUCACUAGAGUGUGGUAGAGGAUAGUGGAAUUUCCGGUGUAGCAGUGAAAUGCGUAGAGAUCGGAAGGAACAUCUGUGGCGAAGGCGACUAUCUGGGCCAACACUGACACUGAGGCACGAAAGCGUGGGGAGCAAACAGGAUUAGAUACCCGGGUAGUCCCUGUCUCUUAUAC
RNAcentral lists this ribosomal RNA (301 nucleotides) under uncultured bacterium. RNAcentral's name for it is "partial 16S ribosomal RNA". It matches the Rfam family "Bacterial small subunit ribosomal RNA", at positions 509 to 807 of the family's 1533-position model. The record is from RNAcentral.